This 202-nucleotide long non-coding RNA is filed under the name Sorghum bicolor (sorghum). RNAcentral's name for it is "long non-coding RNA (SBIC_LNC015770)". Lineage: Eukaryota; Viridiplantae; Streptophyta; Magnoliopsida; Poales; Poaceae. The record is from RNAcentral.
CUGGGAUUCGUUGGGUGGCGGAUUCGGUACUUCCGGCAGCGCCUCCUCUUCAUGUAUAGUUAUCUUCUCUUUCCAUAUCUGACUCGGUGCUUCGGUCUACUCUGGAUAAUUCUGUUUAAACUGUACGUCUUCUGACCUUAUCACUUCUCCUUCGUAGUCUGCCCAUCCAUCCUUGAUGAUUUGCCUCCUCUGGUUGCGGUUG